GAGUUUCUUCACCACGGUCCACGGUGGACCGACGAUCCAUGCGGGAGUGCAUGGAUCGAUUGGGCAUUUUUCGCCUGGGUUCUCGCGGUCCAUGUGGACCGAUGGGCGGUUUCUCAUCCGUUUCUCACAGUCCAUUAGGAUUUCUAUGGACCUAAGGUUGUUUUGACAUGAUCGGACGGCAACCAUCGCAUGUGGGUGCAAUCUAGUGGUUGUGGAUGCUACGGACACGAUCAAAGGAGGUUUUAAAUCAAGUUAGAACUCCUGUUACGCAUUGGACUUGGAUUUAGGUCUUUAAAAGGCCUAUGGACAGACUGAGAGGCAUCUGUGUUGGUGUGUUCGACAGAACCUUAGAGACGCCAGCAGCUGCUGAGAGAGGGAGUUUGGUAACAGACCCUGGAGAGGC
Molecule: long non-coding RNA, 403 nt
Filed under: Elaeis guineensis (African oil palm)
Lineage: Eukaryota; Viridiplantae; Streptophyta; Magnoliopsida; Arecales; Arecaceae
Description: long non-coding RNA (EGUI_LNC005953)
Source: RNAcentral